CAUAUACUCCCUCCGUUUCAUAAUUCUUGUCAAAAUCUUACAUGUAUCUAGACACUUUUUAGAAAUAGAUACAUCUAUUUUUAGACAAAUUUAAAACAAGAAUUAUGAAACGGAGCGAGUAUUUU
Molecule: non-coding RNA, 125 nt
Organism: Brachypodium distachyon (stiff brome)
Lineage: Eukaryota; Viridiplantae; Streptophyta; Magnoliopsida; Poales; Poaceae
Source: Rfam